RNAcentral lists this transfer RNA (73 nucleotides) under Kineosporia sp. NBRC 101731. Its description in RNAcentral is "tRNA-Val". It matches the Rfam family "tRNA". From Rfam's summary of the family: Transfer RNA (tRNA) molecules are approximately 80 nucleotides in length. Their secondary structure includes four short double-helical elements and three loops (D, anti-codon, and T loops). Further hydrogen bonds mediate the characteristic L-shaped molecular structure. tRNAs have two regions of fundamental functional importance: the anti-codon, which is responsible for specific mRNA codon recognition, and the 3' end, to which the tRNAs corresponding amino acid is attached (by aminoacyl-tRNA synthetases). tRNAs cope with the degeneracy of the genetic code in two manners: having more than one tRNA (with a specific anti-codon) for a particular amino acid; and 'wobble' base-pairing, i.e. permitting non-standard base-pairing at the 3rd anti-codon position. Lineage: Bacteria; Bacillati; Actinomycetota; Actinomycetes; Kineosporiales; Kineosporiaceae. The record is from RNAcentral.
GGGCGAUUAGCUCAGUGGUAGAGCACUGCCUUCACACGGCAGGGGUCACUGGUUCGAACCCAGUAUCGCCCAC